Molecule: ribosomal RNA, 813 nt
Filed under: Triticum aestivum (bread wheat)
Lineage: Eukaryota; Viridiplantae; Streptophyta; Magnoliopsida; Poales; Poaceae
Description: partial small subunit ribosomal RNA
Source: RNAcentral
AUGGCACAUCUGGAUGAUGCUUGGCAGGUAGUGGAGUGUUUGACUUGCCUUUUGCUUCGAAAAUUAAUUGCCAAAGUGGUUUCAGUUCACAAUUCAUGUAAGUUAAUCACUUGUCAGACAGAUCUGAAGAAGCUUAAGAGGAAUCCACAAUUAGUGAAAAUGCCAAGAGUUAGCGAUCUUUUAGGCACUCAUCCAUUAGUCAGCAUACUGCCUGCUGCUGUGCGUGCUCCUUUGUUAAGCAAUACAAAAGAAAAAGUAAAAGGGCAUGGCGCAGCCCUUUAUAUGGAAGGCUCAAGAGCAACUGGUAUAUGGAUUGUUUCGAUCAGAGCAGUAAAGUGGAGAAGUCAGAGGCUAAGCAGCAGGCAUUCUCUGCACCCAAUUUUCUCACAUGGAAGCACUUUGGGUCUAUACGAGGUGCUAACAGGAAUGUCUUGUCUCUGUGACAUGAUUACAGAUUCUCUCGUGCGCUGUUUCUUCAUUGAAGCGGAAAAGAUAGAUCAAUUGCGUCGGUCAGAUCCUUCUGUUGAGGCUUUUCUGUGGCAGGAAAGUGCCGCAGUCAUUGCUAAGCUCUUGAUCCCACGUGUGUUCGAGAGAAUGACAAUGCAAGAGACGCGGCUUCUCGUCAGCACAGGAUCUACUAUGAACUUGUACACCAAGGGUGUAGACAUCAUGCUCGAGCAUAAUUACAUCGGCAUCUUACUAGAAGGAACUUUGAAGGCGGAGAACCAAAACAGCAUCGUACCUCCAGGAGUCCUCUGCUGCUGCCAUCAAACAUGGACCUGGAGUUACUUGGUCUGGAGUCUUCUGCUAUGA